UGUUGUUUCACGGGCCGGGACGAGCGC
RNAcentral lists this small RNA (27 nucleotides) under Bombyx mori (domestic silkworm). RNAcentral describes it as "ovarian small RNA-9227". The record is from RNAcentral. Lineage: Eukaryota; Metazoa; Arthropoda; Insecta; Lepidoptera; Bombycidae.